UGGGAAUUUUGGACAAUGGGCGAAAGCCUGAUCCAGCAAUGCCGCGUGUGUGAAGAAGGCCUUCGGGUUGUAAAGCACUUUUGUCCGGAAAGAAAUCCUUGGCUCUAAUACAGUCGGGGGAUGACGGUACCGGAAGAAUAAGCACCGGCUAACUACGUGCCAGCAGCCGCGGUAAUACGUAGGGUGCAAGCGUUAAUCGGAAUUACUGGGCGUAAAGCGUGCGCAGGCGGUUUGCUAAGACCGAUGUGAAAUCCCCGGGCUCAACCUGGGAACUGCAUUGGUGACUGGCAGGCUAGAGUAUGGCAGAGGGGGGUAGAAUUCCACGUGUAGCAGUGAAAUGCGUAGAGAUGUGGAGGAAUACCGAUGGCGAAGGCAGCCCCCUGGGCCAAUACUGACGCUCAUGCACGAAAGCGUGGGGAGCAAACAGGAUUAGAUACCCUGGUAGUCCACGCCCUAAAACGAUGUCAACUAGUUGUUGGGGAUUCAUUUCCUUAGUAACGUAGCUAACGCGUGAAGUUGACCGCCUGGGGAGUACGGUCGCAAGAUUAAAACUCAAAGGAAUUG
Molecule: ribosomal RNA, 564 nt
Filed under: uncultured bacterium
Lineage: Bacteria
Description: partial 16S ribosomal RNA
Rfam family: Bacterial small subunit ribosomal RNA
Source: RNAcentral